CCUACGGGAGGCAGCAGUGAGGAAUAUUGGUCAAUGGAGGCAACUCUGAACCAGCCAUGCCGCGCUGAAGGAUGAAGGUCCUCUGGAUUGUAAACUUCUUUUAUAAAAGAAGAAACCCCAGAUUUCUAUCUGGGUUGACGGUACUUUAUGAAUAAGCACCGGCUAACUCCGUGCCAGCAGCCGCGGUAAUACGGAGGGUGCAAGCGUUAUCCGGAUUCACUGGGUUUAAAGGGAGCGUAGGUGGGCUGGUAAGUCAGUGGUGAAAUCCCCGAGCUUAACUUGGGAACUGCCAUUGAUACUAUCAGUCUUGAAUACUGUGGAGGUAAGCGGAAUAUAUCAUGUAGCGGUGAAAUGCUUAGAUAUGAUAUAGAACACCGAUAGCGAAGGCAGCUUACUACGCAGUUAUUGACACUGAGGCUCGAAAGCGUGGGGAUCAAACAGGAUUAGAUACCCUGGUAGUCCACGCCCUAAACUAUGGAUACUCGACAUCAGCGAUACACAGUUGGUGUCUGAGCGAAAGCAUUAAGUAUCCCACCUGGGAAGUACGUCCGCAAGGAUGAAACUCAAAUGAAUUGACGG
Molecule: ribosomal RNA, 579 nt
Filed under: uncultured bacterium
Lineage: Bacteria
Description: bacterial SSU rRNA
Rfam family: Bacterial small subunit ribosomal RNA
Source: RNAcentral